UUUUAAAUCCCAGAGUUAUAAAUUCCCAGGUUUUUACUCAAUAGAAUCUUAAAACCAUAAAACCUUGAAUCAGAAUCCCAGGAUCUUAGAUUGUCAAGUCUUAAAUUUUCACUUUAAUAGAAUCUUCACAUCACAAAAUAUUGGGUUAGAAUCAUAGAAUCUGAACCUCAUGUCAGAUCACAGAAUCUUAGGAUUUCCAGGAAUGUAAUCAUCAGCUUGCUGAGAAGCCCAGUCCUUAGGAAUACAUGGAAGCCCCUCAACUGCAACAUAUCUGCCCCAAAUGGCUGCCAGGAGGCCCAUGCUGUGUGGGCUCCAUCAGGAAGGAGGCCUACGGGAGCCUUGGAGGUGUUUGUUGUUCCCCAAUCCUGUGCGGAGAGGAAGAACUGCACAGCCCGGGGCGGGGACUGUCAAGCUGGGACAACACGCCUCUCAGGUCUCCCACCUCAGGGACAUGGGUGGCACGCUGAGGUCCACAGGAGCGAGAUGUUUCCCGCUGCCACUGCAGGCCCAGUGUGACAGCCGGGGCUGGGCCAUCUGGUGAAGGUGGGGCUCAGGGACCAGGAGUUUCAGAGAUGGAAACGAAUCCAUAUGGGCUCACUGGCAGCAAUGGCUAGUCUCUCAUCCAGUUACUUGUUGUAUGACCACCUCGCCCAAGUUUCUGUCCCUUCAGGGCCUCAGU
Manis javanica (Malayan pangolin) is the source of this 679-nucleotide non-coding RNA. The record is from RefSeq and is a predicted model, not a curated record. NCBI's taxonomy places the organism in Eukaryota, Metazoa, Chordata, Mammalia, Pholidota, Manidae.